This 305-nucleotide ribosomal RNA is filed under the name uncultured bacterium. RNAcentral describes it as "bacterial SSU rRNA". It matches the Rfam family "Bacterial small subunit ribosomal RNA", at positions 333 to 655 of the family's 1533-position model. The record is from RNAcentral.
UUAUGCCUACGGGGGGCAGCAGUGGGGAAUAUUGCACAAUGGGGGAAACCCUGAUGCAGCGACGCCGCGUGAAGGAAGAAGUAUUUCGGUAUGUAAACUUCUAUCAGCAGGGAAGAAAAUGACGGUACCUGACUAAGAAGCCCCGGCUAACUACGUGCCAGCAGCCGCGGUAAUACGUAGGGGGCAAGCGUUAUCCGGAUUUACUGGGUGUAAAGGGAGCGUAGACGGCAUGGCAAGUCUGGUGUGAAAGGCAGGGGCUCAACCCCUGGACUGCAUUGGAAACUGUCAGGCUGGAGUGCAGGAGG